GGCACUACGGUGCUGAAGCAACAAAUGCCCUGCUUCCAGGAAAAGCCUCUAAGCAUCAGGUAACAUCAAAUCGUACCCCAAACCGACACAGGUGGUCAGGUAGAGAAUACCAAGGCGCUUGAGAGAACUCGGGUGAAGGAACUAGGCAAAAUGGUGCCGUAACUUCGGGAGAAGGCACGCUGACACGUAGGUGAAGUGAUUUACUCAUGGAGCUGAAGUCAGUCGAAGAUACCAGCUGGCUGCAACUGUUUAUUAAAAACACAGCACUGUGCAAACACGAAAGUGGACGUAUACGGUGUGACGCCUGCCCGGUGCCGGAAGGUUAAUUGAUGGGGUCAGCGCAAGCGAAGCUCCUGAUCGAAGCCCCGGUAAACGGCGGCCGUAACUAUAACGGUCCUAAGGUAGCGAAAUUCCUUGUCGGGUAAGUUCCGACCUGCACGAAUGGCGUAAUGAUGGCCAGGCUGUCUCCACCCGAGACUCAGUGAAAUUGAACUCGCUGUGAAGAUGCAGUGUACCCGCGGCAAGACGGAAAGACCCCGUGAACCUUUACUAUAGCUUGACACUGAACAUUGAGCCUUGAUGUGUAGGAUAGGUGGGAGGCUUUGAAGUGUGGACGCCAGUCUGCAUGGAGCCGGCCUUGAAAUACCACCCUUUAAUGUUUGAUGUUCUAACGUGGACCCGUGAUCCGGGUUGCGGACAGUGUCUGGUGGGUAGUUUGACUGGGGCGGUCUCCUCCUAAAGAGUAACGGAGGAGCACGAAGGUUGGCUAAUCCUGGUCGGACAUCAGGAGGUUAGUGCAAUGGCAUAAGCCAGCUUGACUGCGAGCGUGACGGCGCGAGCAGGUGCGAAAGCAGGUCAUAGUGAUCCGGUGGUUCUGAAUGGAAGGGCCAUCGCUCAACGGAUAAAAGGUACUCCGGGGAUAACAGGCUGAUACCGCCCAAGAGUUCAUAUCGACGGCGGUGUUUGGCACCUCGAUGUCGGCUCAUCACAUCCUGGGGCUGAAGUAGGUCCCAAGGGUAUGGCUGUUCGCCAUUUAAAGUGGUACGCGAGCUGGGUUUAGAACGUCGUGAGACAGUUCGGUCCCUAUCUGCCGUGGGCGCUGGAGAACUGAGGGGGGCUGCUCCUAGUACGAGAGGACCGGAGUGGACGCAUCACUGGUGUUCGGGUUGUCAUGCCAAUGGCACUGCCCGGUAGCUAAAUGCGGAAGAGAUAAGUGCUGAAAGCAUCUAAGCACGAAACUUGCCCCGAGAUGAGUUCUCCCUGAGACUUUAGGUCUCCUGAAGGAACGUUGAAGACGACGACGUUGAUAGGCCGGGUGUGUAAGCGCAGCGAUGCGUUGAGCUAACCGGUACUAAUGAACCGUGAGGCUUAACCUUACA
RNAcentral lists this ribosomal RNA (1379 nucleotides) under Salmonella enterica. Its description in RNAcentral is "partial 23S ribosomal RNA". It matches the Rfam family "Bacterial large subunit ribosomal RNA", at positions 1573 to 2925 of the family's 2925-position model. Lineage: Bacteria; Pseudomonadati; Pseudomonadota; Gammaproteobacteria; Enterobacterales; Enterobacteriaceae. The record is from RNAcentral.